RNAcentral lists this ribosomal RNA (549 nucleotides) under uncultured Glomeromycotina. RNAcentral's name for it is "SSU rRNA". It matches the Rfam family "Eukaryotic small subunit ribosomal RNA", at positions 551 to 1109 of the family's 1831-position model. Lineage: Eukaryota; Fungi; Glomeromycota. The record is from RNAcentral.
UGGAGGGCAAGUCUGGUGCCAGCAGCCGCGGUAAUUCCAGCUCCAAUAGCGUAUAUUAAAGUUGUUGCAGUUAAAAAGCUCGUAGUUGAACUUCGGAAUCAAUGGAUUGGUCAUGCCGUCGGUAUGUACUGGUCAUAUUGGUUCUCACCUUCUAAGGAACCAUAAUGUCAUUCAUUUGAUGUUUUGGGGAAUUAGGACUGUUACCUUGAAAAAAUUAGAGUGUUUAAAGCAGGCUAACGCUUGAAUACAUUAGCAUGGAAUAAUGAAAUAGGACAUCGCAUUCUAUUUUGUUGGUUUCUAGGAUCGAUGUAAUGAUUAAUAGGGAUAGUUGGGGGCAUUAGUAUUCAAUUGUCAGAGGUGAAAUUCUUGGAUUUAUUGAAGACUAACUACUGCGAAAGCAUUUGCCAAGGAUGUUUUCAUUAAUCAAGAACGAAAGUUAGGGGAUCGAAGACGAUCAGAUACCGUCGUAGUCUUAACCAUAAACUAUGCCGACUAGGGAUCGGAUGAUGUUGAUUUUUUAAUGACUCAUURCGGCGCCUUACGGGAAAC